Sarcophilus harrisii (Tasmanian devil) is the source of this 923-nucleotide long non-coding RNA. RefSeq lists it as uncharacterized. The record is from RefSeq and is a predicted model, not a curated record. The transcript is spliced from 4 exons. Lineage: Eukaryota; Metazoa; Chordata; Mammalia; Dasyuromorphia; Dasyuridae.
GGAGCCAUUAUUUCCGUCUUCUCCAAGGACUUUCUCUGCCAUGCCCCUGAAUCAGAUAUCUUCAGCUUUAGCUUCUCUCUUCUCUUCCUACUCCUGGACCAGAGGACUAAAUAGCCCAAGAAAAGAUAAAUCAGCUCAUCAGAAAAGCAAAGCUUAUUCAAGAUUCCUUAAAUGAUCAGUACUAUGGUUGGGGUCCAUAAAUAGAUGCUGCACCUGCAGGCCGCUACCUUGUAAGAUAGGUGUGAUUAUCUACAUUUUACAGUUACCAGGUCAGAUCCAGAUCAGAGAGGAAGAGUCACAAAUGAACAUGUGCCCUACCUGUGCAAGUUGCAGAAAUGAAGCUGGGCGAUUCUCCUUCCAGGUCUCAUCCCAUCACUAAGGAACUGUGUGAUCUUGGUCAAGUCACAACUUCUCUGAACAAUCUUUCUCAUCUAUAAAACAAGAGAGAUGGACUAAAUGACAUUUAAGUAUCUCCCACUUCCAAUACUCUAAGAUGCUAUAAUGGGUAGUGCUUUAGCUUACAAUUUCAUGAGCUAAUUCAGCCAUAAAUUCACUCCCCAUCCUCACUGCCAAGAAGCAGAUUAAUAAAGCAAAUAUAGACAUGUUAUGUGACACAAUUACGUGUACUGUUUUUACAAUGGAGCAUAACUUGUAAUAAAAGAAAUUUAAUGAAGCACAAAAUCACUAAUAUUCGCAUGUAUUUGAUUUUUUUUAUUUUUUUUUUUACUUUAAAAUAAAGUUUAAUGGGUUAUUUGUCAAUGAUGUAGAAACUAUUCCUGCUGUAAAAAGAAAGUAGACUAGAUGAUCUUUGAGGUAGAUUCUAGUUCAGGACAUUCAGCACAUUCAACACAUGGCAUAAUCACAUCCAAACUCAAUUCUGUUUUAUAUAUUUUUUCAAAUAAUUUUUUUUUCCAAAAUAGCAA